GAUGAACGCUGGCGGCGUGCCUAAUACAUGCAAGUCGAGCGAACGGACGAGAAGCUUGCUUCUCUGAUGUUAGCGGCGGACGGGUGAGUAACACGUGGAUAACCUACCUAUAAGACUGGGAUAACUUCGGGAAACCGGAGCUAAUACCGGAUGAUAUUUUGAACCGCAUGGUUCAAAAGUGAAAGACGGUCUUGCUGUCACUUAUAGAUGGAUCCGCGCUGCAUUAGCUAGUUGGUAAGGUAACGGCUUACCAAGGCAACGAUGCAUAGCCGACCUGAGAGGGUGAUCGGCCACACUGGAACUGAGACACGGUCCAGACUCCUACGGGAGGCAGCAGUAGGGAAUCUUCCGCAAUGGGCGAAAGCCUGACGGAGCAACGCCGCGUGAGUGAUGAAGGUCUUCGGAUCGUAAAACUCUGUUAUUAGGGAAGAACAUAUGUGUAAGUAACUGUGCACAUCUUGACGGUACCUAAUCAGAAAGCCACGGCUAACUAGGUG
Molecule: ribosomal RNA, 497 nt
Filed under: uncultured bacterium
Lineage: Bacteria
Description: partial 16S ribosomal RNA
Rfam family: Bacterial small subunit ribosomal RNA
Source: RNAcentral